This 477-nucleotide ribosomal RNA is filed under the name uncultured organism. RNAcentral's name for it is "partial 16S ribosomal RNA". It matches the Rfam family "Bacterial small subunit ribosomal RNA", at positions 329 to 797 of the family's 1533-position model. The record is from RNAcentral.
ACGUACACUCCUGCGGGAGGCAGCAGUGGGGAAUAUUGCACAAUGGGCGCAAGCCUGAUGCAGCCAUGCCGCGUGUAUGAAGAAGGCCUUCGGGUUGUAAAGUACUUUCAGCGGGGAGGAAGGCAAUACGGUUAAUAACCGUGUUGAUUGACGUUACCCGCAGAAGAAGCACCGGCUAACUCCGUGCCAGCAGCCGCGGUAAUACGGAGGGUGCAAGCGUUAAUCGGAAUUACUGGGCGUAAAGCGCACGCAGGCGGUCUGUCAAGUCGGAUGUGAAAUCCCCGGGCUCAACCUGGGAACUGCAUUCGAAACUGGCAGGCUUGAGUCUUGUAGAGGGGGGUAGAAUUCCAGGUGUAGCGGUGAAAUGCGUAGAGAUCUGGAGGAAUACCGGUGGCGAAGGCGGCCCCCUGGACAAAGACUGACGCUCAGGUGCGAAAGCGUGGGGAGCAAACAGGAUUAGAUACCCCAGUAGUCCCA